Molecule: ribosomal RNA, 729 nt
Filed under: uncultured bacterium
Lineage: Bacteria
Description: bacterial SSU rRNA
Rfam family: Bacterial small subunit ribosomal RNA
Source: RNAcentral
UGCGCGAGGGNUCUGCGUCCGAUUAGUUAGUUGGUGAGGUAACGGCUCACCAAGACGAUGAUCGGUAGCUAGUCUGAGAGGAUGAUUAGCCACACGGGAACUGAGACACGGUCCCGACUCCUACGGGGGGCAGCAGUGAGGAAUAUUGCACAAUGGACGCAAGUCUGAUGCAGCAACGCCGCGUGGAGGAUGACGGUCUUUGGAUUGUAAACUCCUUUUCUCAGGGAAGAGAAUGGACGGUACCUGAGGAAUAAGUCACGGCUAACUACGUGCCAGCAGCCGCGGUAAUACGUAGGUGGCAAGCGUUAUCCGGAAUUACUGGGCGUAAAGCGCACGCAGGCGGUCUUGUAAGUUUGACGUGAAAGCUCCCGGCUCAACUGGGAGAGGUCGUUGAAGACUGCAAGACUUGAGGCAAUGAGGGGGGUGUAGAAUUCCUGGUGUAGUGGUGGAAUGCGUAGAUAUCAGGAGGAAUACCAGUGGCGAAAGCGGCACCCUAGCGUUAGCCUGACGCUCAUGUGCGAAAGCGUGGGGAGCAAACGGGAUUAGAUACCCCGGUAGUCCACGCUGUAAACGAUGAACACUAGGUGUAGGGGAUGUGAAAGUUCUCUGUACCGAAGCCAACGCGUUAAGUGUUCCGCCUGGGGAGUACGGCCGCAAGGCUAAAACUCAAAGGAAUUGACGGGGGCCCGCACAAGCAGCGGAGCGUGUGGUUUAAUUCGAUGCGACGCG